UCACGUAUCCACGUAUAAACCACUGCGAACUGUAUUCCCUUCAAAAGGGUUGAGGUCUCCUUCGGGGAGCUUUAGGCCAGUAGUCCUCUCGAUUUCGUGAUGGAGGGGCGGUCUAGAGUUGUCUCACGACACCUUGGUUCUUUUGGAGCGGUUAUCCAUCACGAACCGUUUCAAACCUUAUUAACCCCUUUAAACUUUUUUGAACUGAAUCUGUAAGCCUUUUGAAUGUCCCUCGGGACGAUCAAAGUGUCUUAUACUUUACGAAAUAUUCGAA
RNAcentral lists this unclassified non-coding RNA (274 nucleotides) under soil metagenome. Its description in RNAcentral is "partial internal transcribed spacer 1". The record is from RNAcentral.